GGGCCAUUAGCUCAGUUGGUAGAGCACCGGACUUUUAAUCCGGGUGUCGGAGGUUCGAUCCCUCCAUGGCUCACCA
Molecule: transfer RNA, 76 nt
Filed under: Peptococcaceae bacterium
Lineage: Bacteria; Bacillati; Bacillota; Clostridia; Eubacteriales; Peptococcaceae
Also listed under: 1 other name
Description: tRNA-Lys
Rfam family: tRNA
About the family: Transfer RNA (tRNA) molecules are approximately 80 nucleotides in length. Their secondary structure includes four short double-helical elements and three loops (D, anti-codon, and T loops). Further hydrogen bonds mediate the characteristic L-shaped molecular structure. tRNAs have two regions of fundamental functional importance: the anti-codon, which is responsible for specific mRNA codon recognition, and the 3' end, to which the tRNAs corresponding amino acid is attached (by aminoacyl-tRNA synthetases). tRNAs cope with the degeneracy of the genetic code in two manners: having more than one tRNA (with a specific anti-codon) for a particular amino acid; and 'wobble' base-pairing, i.e. permitting non-standard base-pairing at the 3rd anti-codon position.
Source: RNAcentral